RNAcentral lists this ribosomal RNA (484 nucleotides) under uncultured bacterium. Its description in RNAcentral is "partial 16S ribosomal RNA". It matches the Rfam family "Bacterial small subunit ribosomal RNA", at positions 30 to 507 of the family's 1533-position model. The record is from RNAcentral.
AUUGAACGCUGGCGGCAGGCCUAACACAUGCAAGUCGAGCGGAUGAAGGGGGCUUGCUCCUGGAUUACGCGGCGGACGGGUGAGUAAUGCACAGGAAGCUGCCUGAUAGUUGGGGCUAACGUCCGGAAAGGGAAGCUAAUACAACAUAGGAUAAGAUGGUGAACGGGGGGGUUCUUUAGAGCUAGACCGAUUAGAUGAGCCUAGGUCGGAUUAGCUAGUUGGUGAGGUAACGGCCUACCAAGGCGACGAUCCGUAACUGGUCUGAGAGGAUGAUCAGUCACACUGGAACUGAGACACGGUCCAGACUCCUACGGGAGGCAGCAGUAGGGAAUCUUCGACAAUGGGCGAAAGCCUGAUCCAGCCAUGCCGCGUGUGUGAAGAAGGUCUUCGGAUUGUAAAGCUCUUUUAGUUGGGAGGAAGGGCAGUAAGUUAAUCCCUUGCUGUCUUGACGUUACCAACAGAAAAAGCACCGGCUAACUUCGUG